AGCUCCAAUAGCGUAUAUUAAAGUUGUUGCGGUUAAAAAGCUCGUAGUUGGAUUUCUGUCGAGGACGGCCGGUCUUCACUAUGUGAAAGUAUCUGGUUCGGCCUUGGCAUCCUCGUGGGGAACGUAGCUGCGCUUGAUUGCGUGGUGCGGAAUUCACGACUUUUACUUUGAGGAAAUUAGAGUGUUCACGGCAGGCAAUCGCCUUGAAUAUAUUAGCAUGGAAUAAUAAUAUAGGACCUUGGUUCUAUUUUGUUGGUUUCUAGGACUGAGGUAAUGAUUAAUAGGGAUAAUUGGGGGCAUUUGUAUUAACGCGUCAGAGGUGGAAUUCUUGGAUUGCGUUACGACAAACUACUGCGAAAGCAUUUGCCAAGGAUGUUUUCA
Molecule: ribosomal RNA, 381 nt
Filed under: uncultured eukaryote
Lineage: Eukaryota
Description: SSU rRNA
Rfam family: Eukaryotic small subunit ribosomal RNA
Source: RNAcentral